CCACUUUCAACAACGGAUCUCUUGGUUCUGGCAUCGAUGAAGAACGCAUCGAAAUGCGAUAAGUAGAGUGAAUUGCAGAAUUCAGAGAAUCAUCGAAUCUUUGAAAGCUCAUUGCGCCCCUUGGUAUUCCAUGGCGCAUGCCUGUUCUAGCGACAUUU
Molecule: ribosomal RNA, 158 nt
Filed under: Paraphoma sp.
Lineage: Eukaryota; Fungi; Ascomycota; Dothideomycetes; Pleosporales; Phaeosphaeriaceae
Description: 5.8S ribosomal RNA
Rfam family: 5.8S ribosomal RNA
About the family: 5.8S ribosomal RNA (5.8S rRNA) is a component of the large subunit of the eukaryotic ribosome. It is transcribed by RNA polymerase I as part of the 45S precursor that also contains 18S and 28S rRNA.
Source: RNAcentral